GCCGUGGCUGAGUGAUAAAGCACACGAUUUUGAUUCGUCAGGUCGGUAGUCGGUUCGAGACCCACUAGAGCCU
Non-coding RNA from Halocaridina rubra (Hawaiian volcano shrimp), 73 nucleotides. The record is from the annotation of a GenBank genome assembly. NCBI's taxonomy places the organism in Eukaryota, Metazoa, Arthropoda, Malacostraca, Decapoda, Atyidae.